This is an RNA transcript of Bombus pyrosoma, 6638 nucleotides long. RefSeq lists it as uncharacterized. The record is from RefSeq and is a predicted model, not a curated record. The transcript is spliced from 8 exons. Lineage: Eukaryota; Metazoa; Arthropoda; Insecta; Hymenoptera; Apidae.
GCUUAGAAAAGGCUGUUAUGCUCUGCUUUAUCUUGCCCAGGAUGAUCCCAAAAAAUCGAUUCAACGGUUAUUUCUUCGAAUCAUACCCUUGUACAACUGCGUUGAAUCCCGUUGGACUUGUCUUUUUUUCUUGGUAAAGUGUACUUUACGAUCAGUGUUAUCUACCUCAAACCAGACGUCAACCGGAAAUAUUGGUCAUAGUGUUAAUAUUUCAUCGAUAGUAUUGUUCAAGUAACCGCAUGCAGAUCAAUUUCCUUGGUGCAUGAUCCAUUGAUCUCGAUCAAAUGGAAUAUAUUAAUGAAUGCAUCGAAUAACGGUUACGAUCAAUAACUAUCCUACGGGCUAAGACACUUUAUCGUCAAAUCUUCCAGAGCUCCGAAAAUUCCUCCGCAGUUCCUUAGGAAACAGAAUCCGCCAGGUUAAUUAUUUCAAAUUGAUUGAGUUUAAUCUACUUCCUAAUAUUCCACAUAAAUCCAAAAUUUUCUAUUCAAUGAUGUAUACAAUGGAAAACAUAAUGUAUUGAACAUUUAUGUAUGGUUAGAUACUAAUUACAUUUUCUCUAAUACGCUUGAGCAGGCACCAUGAUUAGAGCUAAAAAAAAAUAUUCAAUCAUUGGUGGCUUGAUGAAAUUGUUAAAAAUAGUUGCCAUCGGUUAGUGGUGUUUGAUGGACGGUUUUAUGAGUCCAUGAAUGGGUGAUGCGUAUCGUAUUUUUGAAGGUGAAACGGCACGUGAAAGGAGUAGAAUAAUGGUUUGGCAAUCGUUCAAGUAUUUAUAAGAAUUCAUCAAGAACAUAGAAUUCGUGAACAUGUGUACGGCUCGCGACAAGAAUCGUCUAUCACGAAGCCAAUAUCUUUCCAACUUAUGUUUUAUGUUACAAGUAUGACGAAGCGGAGAAUGAUCGAGGAAAGAGAAACGAUCGGUUAAACGUUACAUCGAGCUAAAAUUAUGAAUUAUAGUUGCGAAGGAAUUAGAUUCCUGUAACUUCGGAGAAGGAAGGCUCUAAUCCGUAAGAGAGCAAAUACAUAUUAGAAGAAUCUCGAAGGUCACCUGUAACAAUGAUCCAUAGAGAAGAGUUUUAUUGAGCACUAGAACGAUGACGAGCGAAGCAUAACUGUCGACGAAUGAUCAUGUAAUGUGUAUAACGUAAUGUUAUAACAGUAAUAAAGUGCGUGUGCACUGGUAGUAUAUCUGUAAUAGGUGUUGGCCAUUUCAACAUCAUGGCCAUCCAGAUACUUCCAGACGUCCGUAGGAUUAUUCUUAUUCAUUGUUUUCAUCCGUUAUAGAGACUUGAGAUGCUCACCAUGUUUCUGCAAUUAUAUAAUAUACUAUAUAAUUCGUUCCUUAUAAUUCAUUAAUGCGAGUCAUCACACGAAUGCUAUUGAUCAGACGUCAGCUGGUUACCGAGGAAAGUUUCACAAUCACAGAAUUAAAUUAUUCUAAGACUCUAUUUGACAUAAAACGCUUCUAAAUAUUUGUAAUAUUCCAAAUCUUCCAUAUAGCAUAUCUGAUCCACGUAAACAUCGUUGGAAUAGGUCAUCUUGGAUUAUUACUGUGAAAUAUAUCACGAUCUUAUUUGCAUUACAUUCCAACAUAUUUUGAUACCAUUCACUGUACAGUUUAUUUUCUAGGCAACUAUCCAAGGUAAAUGAAAUAAUCUUUCAAGAGCUACCAGCGAACUAGAUAUUAUUGGCGUGCCCGUUAUUUCGACGACGUCGACAUGCCCAGCGAUCAGUAAUUUUUUUCGUUUCAUUGUCCAUUGAUCCGAGCUCGAAACGAGACUAAUAGUACAUAGCCGCUUUGACGAAUAUUCCAGAAGACUAUUUUUGCUUUGAUCCUUGAAAAUUUCUUCGAGGUACUAGUUUAAAUGUCAAAGACUAGGAACAAUUUCCAAAGUAUAACCGAACGCAGUCUUACGUGAUGCUCAUUUCAAAUUGCAAUAUUGAAACGUUAAUCAAAGGGAGAAAUAAUGAUUGGGAAGAAUCAAAUGUGUCUCAGGUAACCGGACGUUACAUUGACAUGCAGACAACUAGACUAAGAAGAGGGUCAGAAUUACAGAUUUAUGCUAAUUGAUCGAAAUUUUUCCGUUUUCCUGCUUGUGUCGAUGAUUAGCACUUUGCGAAACGAUAAUUCCUCUCCAAGACAUCCGAGGAAUCUAAAUAACAAGUGGAGACGCGCUAAGAAUCGUCAUGUUAUUUUCCUUCCGACGUGUUUCACAACGUCUGUCUUCAUCUUAGAGUAAAUAUUGCAUCUCUGUAACCUUCGAAAGAUGCAAACCACAAAACUCGUAGGUCCCUCUCUCGAGAUCUGCGGCCGUGGUACUUAGAUCUUAAUCGAUGCGUCCGUGAAUUUAACGCAUGAACCUUUCACCGAAACGUCACGAUCUCGUGACCCUUUUGCAUCCAUGGUAUCCACAGUUACGUCAGUUUUCUUUCUUCGUGUACCGGUUCGUCCGAACGUUAUAACUUGUUGAGGCACGAAAUAUUCACGGUCACAAUCAACUGCAGCCUUCGUCGGGACGAGCUUUCACUUCAAGUCGCAUCAAUGAAACGAUAAGUUUUUUCUGCGAGGAUCAUAAGAAGGAAAUAAUAAUCAUAAGAAUGGAACGUAAUAAAAAUUCGAACUUGAUCUAGUGUAUCGACAAACGGUCUUAUGCAACGCGUUAGAAAUAAAGUUACAUGAAAGGUUCGACGCUGUAAAUCGUAAACAGCACAGAUGGCUAAUGUAGCGCUAUGUAUGCGAACAGAAGAUAAAUUGCUCGGGCACAAUAAGGAUAAAUUUUGCUAUACGUGAUAUCGACAAGAGAUUAUUCGAAUCUGUCCAUUGGUAACUUGCUGUUAGAAUCGACAACCUAUCAUUUAUUUGGACAUUUCUUUUCCACCGACGCCUCCUCCUUUCGUUCAUCGCAAAUCGACCGAUUCUUUUCCAACUCAACUUGUGACUCUCCCACUGUGUCAAAACUAAAAGUUCGAUGAACUCGAAACAGGACAAUUCAUCCUCGUUGAGCAUCAGAUUGCAGUCGUAAAUCGUAGGGAAGUCUUCCUGUUAAAAUCCGCUGACAGAAUACCUUUUCCUAUCUAUGAAAUUUUUAUUUUACAAUCCUCUUACGCUCUUUCCAUAACAAUCGUUGUUAACUUGAAAUGAAGGACGUAAUGAUGAAAUCAUCAUAGUCCUAUCUUGUCAAGGAUCGCUUUAAUACUUCUCAGAUCAUUAUCGGUUCCUCAGUCAACCUUCCUAUGCUAAUUUUCCGCCGGACGAAGGCACUACUGCGCCUUAUUUCAUAUUAGAAACACAGGAAUCAGAUUCCAAGGACGAUGAAUAAUAUUCCACAAAUUGUCCAGGCAUUGGACCUGAUUCUGCCACAGUUAGUAUGCAAGCCCAUAAACGGGAGAAAUGAGAAGUGGCGCUGGAAAUAAGUCAGUUCUGAUUUAACGAUCAUAAAUGUGCGAACUAGUAUAUCGGCAAAGGCCGCGCCCUGCGCAUCCGUUUCCCAGUGGCCUACUAAAACCAACGUUCUCCUUCUCUCUCUCUCUCUCUUUCUCUUUCUCUCUCUCGUUCUCUUCAUGUCUGUACGUCGUGGAUGAAAAUAACACCAUCAAAGCAGGAAGGCAAGCUAGCUGGUUUACGGAUUAGAAACGUGAAGGGGAGGUGGGUCGCAGGAAUGAUAGCGCUCCUAUCAAUAAGUCAGGCCAAGAGAAAGAUCGAAAUCGACUGAACUUCGGAUGAUCAACUUUUUAUCUUUACCUAAUGGAUAUUGUGCGAGCUGUAGGCAUCUCGUGUCUAUCAGUAAAAGUGGCUUACACCGGAUUACCUUUGAUUUUAAGCAGUCAAAACCGUGAAAUCGUUGGUCAGUGAUUUUCACUAGGGCAACGAUUCGUACUGAACUGAAAGUAAUACGCUGGAAUUGUGCUUCCGGAGUUUUCGAGCUGCUGAGCUUUUCAAAUGUCUUCCAAGUAUCGACCGGAGGCUGGCAGACCUGUUCGAGUUCGCGUCGAUUUUAUUCUGUAUCGUAGUUUUUGAUUCUACGGCCAGGAGAAGAGCGCUGAACAUAUCUCCCACAUUCCCAGUGGAUGCUAAUUUAGGUCGUGGUGUCACACAUCCCGAAAAGUGAAACGAAGGUUUCGCAGUAAUGCUGUUAGCGCAAGCGUUACGAAAAAUUAGCACAAUGACGAUGCAGGAAACAUGUGAUAAAGAGUUUCAUGACAUUCGAUUCGCAAUUGUUAUUCCCAUGGAUCAUGAAGGGUACGUCUAAACGAGAUUAGAAAAGAAGAAAACAAAACUGGGACGUUGGAUGCCUUCGGGUAGCAUCGUUUUCACUUACAAUUCAACUCAUUUCGCACUCAAUUAGCGAUCACGAGUAUUAACUCUCUGUAUGGAACUUCUUCACAGAUGGUUAUGUUCUAAAUCAUCUUUAAUUUACUGUGAACAGAUCAGGAGAUCUCUCGGGUUUUUUUUCUCAGUGUCUUAUAAAACUUAAAGUUAUAUGUAGCUUUAUACAGAAUUAUUAUUUUAUCCUUGAAGGAAGUUGAUUAUCGAAACGUUCGUUUCUCCGUCAUGUAACAAAAAUACUAGUCGAGAAUUACCAACCAGUUGGCUGGUGAUAAUACGAUAAACGAGCAUGUCUGCAAACAUUGGACGUGUUAACUCUCCGAUUGGAUCAUUACCGCUUCGAAGCCCAAAGCGGGAGAAAUGUUUCGACGCUUCCAGAGAUUUUUACGCUCCAUCGGGGAACGCAGACCGUUUAAUUAAAUUGAGCGACGUUUCGUGGGAGACUACGUAAUCCAGGGGAAAUAUUCAAUGAACUCCAAUGUCGAGACAGCUCGGUGCCCCUGAUUAACAGCAAACGAAUAAAGAAAUCUUAGUAGUUAAUUUCAUUUCUUCGGAAUCGAAUGGUGUUCCAAUUUAGAAUUCAUCCCAGGAGAACGUAUUUUGAUAAACGAAAUUUUCGAUCAACGAAAUGGAAUAAAAUCUUAGUGACUGUAAUAGAAUAUUUAUCACUUGGACGAUGUACAUAGUGAAACUUAAUUGCUAUUCCCUGAAAUGUAUUUCUAUCGGACAUUGUAUUAACUUAAAGUUGACAGAAGGUUCAACGAAGUUGAAAUCAACGUACCUAUUAAUCAAGAUAACUUAAUGAAAGAGUAGGAAAUUGAAAUACUUGAGUUUUCUAUCCUGCCUACUGCUCCUGGCAAUUCAGCAAUAGAUUUAAUUUCAACCGAGUGACGAGGAAAACGUACCAACGUCGAAUGAACUGGUAAUAAUAUUUCAAUCCAAAUUCGUAACUGAUUUCAUCCCCGAAAAUCCAUUUUCAACCCUCGAUUACAGGAACAAGAUGAAAGGUAUGGUAGUUUAUUUGAAAUAAUGAACUUUCAAAGAGAAUCAUUGACGGCUGUAGUAAGUGCAGUAAUUUCUUUUCUAUUUAUUUCAAAAGCAUUGUUUUUAAACUUUCUAUAUAUAGAAGAAAUAAUUGCUGAAUGUAUUAAAAGCCUCAGGUAUUUAACUUAAGAUAAUACGAUUAUUAUACGUCUAUAUUGUCCUAUUUUAUAAACAGAGAAUCACUCACAAAAUUAUGGCACUCUUCCAGGAACAUCACCCGAAAUUCGCCGACACAAAAUUGCGCAUUAAUAUCGAGAAUUCUAGAUAUCAAACAAUAUAGAAACAAGAACGCAGAAAAAUCCUCUCAUAGCCUUGCUUUGCGUGAGUGCAUUUUAAAGGAGGUCGCUCUACCAUGAUAUAGUGUAUUUUCGCUGCAGCAGUCGUUGUGGCGUCGUUGCUGUAUAAGGGAACAGCUUGGUGCUUUUACGCAAUAAGUAGACACACAAACGUGUUGUUUCUUGGCGAGAUAAUACGUGUGUUGUUGGUUACAAGAAAAAAAUUUCUACGAUUAAAAACAUCAACAUGGUCACUUAGAAAAAUGGUCCGGUGACCAAGGUAGUCAAGACCUUGAAGACUAAAGCUGACUAGUUUGCUUCAAAGAAAUCAUCUGUCUUGAAUGUAAUGGUUCACGUCAUAUCUCAACGAUGCUCUAUCUUGCGCAACAUCCUUCAUUUUAAACCUACAAAGUUACAUCGAGUAAAUUCUAACAUCUCCUCCUUAUUUCAUUUUCAUCGCUGACUUAUUUGAAAAUCGUAUCAACAGGUUUUGAUAAGGAUCCAGAAUUUAUUAACCGUAUGAAAAAUCCAGUGAUUUCAUGCCAGAAACUUUCAUUUUUAUUAUCAUACACAUCGUUGCGCUAUAAAGAUGUGGCUGAUGAAACAUCGUGUUUAUUGAAAUUAAUAACGAGGCAAUUGAAAGUGUGUCGCGACUUUGUUUCGGCGUGAAAGGAGGGAACGAUUGUCUGCUUCUUGUCGUGUCGUGCUGAUCCAUGAAUAGAGGCUUUCCCAUGGAGAAAAUCUAUUAUUUUCAUAAGUACGCCCUCUCAGAACGCGCGAAGGAACGGAUUACGUAAUGUAUUUUCAUUUUACGUAACGACCAUUACAAAACUGUAAGCAAUGAGUCAUCUUCCAGUCAAAGUCAGAGAUCAGUCUGAUCUAGUUUCUCCUGUCGGGUAUGAAUCGCAAAGGAGUAAAGUACGAUCUCUUGUAAAUCUAAACUCUAAUAAUUUUCAUCAGUACUUAAGUAAAAUGUCUUAUAAUUUAAUUUA